Non-coding RNA from Arabis alpina (gray rockcress), 46 nucleotides. NCBI's taxonomy places the organism in Eukaryota, Viridiplantae, Streptophyta, Magnoliopsida, Brassicales, Brassicaceae. The record is from Rfam.
UUAAUGGAUUUUUUAAAAUCCAUGAUUCAAUAACAUAAGAUUUGAU